Molecule: ribosomal RNA, 263 nt
Filed under: uncultured bacterium
Lineage: Bacteria
Description: partial 16S ribosomal RNA
Rfam family: Bacterial small subunit ribosomal RNA
Source: RNAcentral
UACGGGGGGGGCAAGCGUUGUUCGGAAUUACUGGGCGUAAAGGGCUCGUAGGUGGCCAACUAAGUCAGACGUGAAAUCCCUCAGCUUAACUGGGGAACUGCGUCUGAUACUGGAUGGCUUGAGUUUGGGAGAGGGAUGCGGAAUUCCAGGUGUAGCGGUGAAAUGCGUAGAUAUCUGGAGGAACACCGGUGGCGAAGGCGGCAUCCUGGACCAACACUGACACUGAGGAGCGAAAGCCAGGGGAGCAAACGGGGAUUAGAAAA